UACGUAGGGGGCAAGCGUUGUCCGGAAUCAUUGGGAGUAAAGCGCGUGUAGGCGGCCAGAUAAGUCCGCUGUGAAAUCUCGAGGCUCAACUUCGAGCUGUCGGUGGAAACUGUCUGGCUAGAGUCCGGAAGAGGAGAAUGGAAUUCCUGGUGUAGCGGUGAAAUGCGCAGAUAUCAGGAAGAACACCCGUGGCGAAGGCGGUUCUCUGGGACGGUACUGACGCUGAGACGCGAAAGCGUGGGGAGCGAACAGG
Molecule: ribosomal RNA, 253 nt
Filed under: uncultured bacterium
Lineage: Bacteria
Description: partial 16S ribosomal RNA
Rfam family: Bacterial small subunit ribosomal RNA
Source: RNAcentral